Molecule: ribosomal RNA, 112 nt
Filed under: Prolemur simus (greater bamboo lemur)
Lineage: Eukaryota; Metazoa; Chordata; Mammalia; Primates; Lemuridae
Source: RNAcentral
CCGAGGCCGCACCGCCCUGAAGGCGCCCGAUCUCGUCCGAUCUGGGAAGCUAAGCAGGAUCGGGCCCGGUCGGGACCUGGAUGGUUAAAAGGAUUAGUGUGUGUCCAUUGGC